GAAUUUUGGACAAUGGGGGCAACCCUGAUCCAGCCAUGCCGCGUGUGUGGAGAAGGCCUUUUGGUUGUAAAGCACUUUAAGCAGUGAAGAAGCCUCCAUGGUUAAUCCCCAUGGCUGAUGACAUUGGCUGCAGAAUAAGCACCGGCUACCCCGGUGCCAGCAGCCGCGGUAAUACAGAGGGUGCAAGCGUUAAUCGGAAUUACUGGGCGCAAAGCGAGCGUAGGUGGCUUGAUAAGCCAGAUGUGAAAUCCCCGGGCUUAACCUGGGAACUGCAUCUGAUACUGUUAGGCUAGAAUAGGUGAGAGGAAGGUAGAAUUCCAGGUGUAGCGGUGAAAUGCGUAGAGAUCUGGAGGAAUACCGAUGGCGAAGGCAGCCUUCUGGCAUCAUAUUGACACUGAGGUUCGAAAGCGUGGGUAGCAAAC
This 422-nucleotide ribosomal RNA is filed under the name uncultured bacterium. RNAcentral's name for it is "partial 16S ribosomal RNA". It matches the Rfam family "Bacterial small subunit ribosomal RNA", at positions 359 to 773 of the family's 1533-position model. The record is from RNAcentral.